This 253-nucleotide ribosomal RNA is filed under the name uncultured bacterium. RNAcentral's name for it is "partial 16S ribosomal RNA". It matches the Rfam family "Bacterial small subunit ribosomal RNA", at positions 524 to 776 of the family's 1533-position model. The record is from RNAcentral.
UACGUAGGGUGCGAGCGUUGUCCGGAAUUAUUGGGCGUAAAGGGCUCGUAGGCGGUCUGUUGCGUCGGGUGUGAAAACUCAGGGCUUAACCCUGAGCCUGCUUCCGAUACGGGCAGACUAGAGGUAUGCAGGGGAGAACGGAAUUCCUGGUGUAGCGGUGAAAUGCGCAGAUAUCAGGAGGAACACCGGUGGCGAAGGCGGGUCUCUGGGCCGUAACUGACGCUGAGGAGCGAAAGCGUGGGGAGCGAACAGG